Molecule: microRNA precursor, 62 nt
Filed under: Pelobates cultripes (western spadefoot toad)
Lineage: Eukaryota; Metazoa; Chordata; Amphibia; Anura; Pelobatidae
Source: RNAcentral
UAGUGCUGCAAUGUAAAACAUUGCAGUUUCAUGGAAACUGCAAUGUUUACAUUGCAGUUCUA